Molecule: ribosomal RNA, 495 nt
Filed under: uncultured bacterium
Lineage: Bacteria
Description: partial 16S ribosomal RNA
Rfam family: Bacterial small subunit ribosomal RNA
Source: RNAcentral
AUGAACGCUGGCGGCGUGCCUAAUACAUGCAAGUCGAGCGAACGGACGAGAAGCUUGCUUCUCUGAUGUUAGCGGCGGACGGGUGAGUAACACGUGGAUAACCUACCUAUAAGACUGGGAUAACUUCGGGAAACCGUAGCUAAUACCGGAUAAUAUUUUGAACCGCAUGGUUCAAAAGUGAAAGACGGUCUUGCUGUCACUUAUAGAUGGAUCCGCGCUGCAUUAGCUAGUUGGUAAGGUAACGGCUUACCAAGGCAACGAUGCAUAGCCGACCUGAGAGGGUGAUCGGCCACACUGGAACUGAGACACGGUCCAGACUCCUACGGGAGGCAGCAGUAGGGAAUCUUCCGCAAUGGGCGAAAGCCUGACGGAGCAACGCCGCGUGAGUGAUGAAGGUCUUCGGAUCGUAAAACUCUGUUAUUAGGGAAGAACAGAUGUGUAAGUAACUGUGCACAUCUUGACGGUACCUAAUCAGAAAGCCACGGCUAACUACGU